Long non-coding RNA from Lineus longissimus, 1412 nucleotides. RefSeq lists it as uncharacterized. The transcript has 3 exons. The record is from RefSeq and is a predicted model, not a curated record. Lineage: Eukaryota; Metazoa; Nemertea; Pilidiophora; Heteronemertea; Lineidae.
AUGGGCCUGCUGGGGUAUUGUGUGGUGGUGAUUCGAUGAAUAUUCAUCCAGAUUCAUCGAAUCACCAACACACAUUCAGUGAAUGUUUUCGAAAAUGAAAAAUAUGUCAUUCAAAAGUGGCUAAAUACAACUAAACAUACAUUCGUUACCGAUAUAGAUAUCAAUUUUUUGUCGGGAAUAUCAACUGUCCGGAUUUACGAAUUCUUUUUCCACUGACAGCUAUAGAUUUCGGUUGAGCGAAAUUAUCAGCCUCUACGGGAAGCAGAACUUUUGAUUAAUAUUCUUGUUCAAAUUGGAUUAAGACUAAGAGACGUUAAUUUUGGGAUACUCAAAACAUGAAAAAUACCAAGAUUUAAAGGCUGAAUUUACCAUGUGGAAAAAGACAAUCCAAUUAUGGUGUGAUUGUUGGAGAAAUAAAGAGAAGAGGCAAAUAAUUGGUCUUAGCUGGAUGACCCAGGACGAUUGAAAAACAGCUAAUCAUUAUGUAUACAACCAUGUCAUUUGUUCUAACUGGAUUCUUUGUCUGUCACAAAGAAAGCAGCAUUGAAUCUCGUUUGUGCAGAGGAGAAUGGUCAACUAUCCUAAAUACAACCAAAAUUUCACCUCUGUAACCAAGAAAAUUCUCUCUCAAGAAUAUACCUUUUGCUCAGUAAUCAUAAUGGGACCGCAAAAAGAAGCGACAAGAGCAAAAUGUGAUCAGCUAUCGAGUCGAUCACAUCAUUUGUUCUAACUGGAUUCUCUGUCUGUUACAAACAAAGCAGCAUUGGCUCCCGUUGGUGCAGAGGAUGUGGGUCUUUCAUCGUAAAUGCAGUCGAGGAAGUCUUGUCAAACACCCCAUAGGGAUAAUAAUGUCUUCAUAGAGUUGAGUGUUGAUAAUGCAGGAUGAUCUGAGAAAUGUAGUGAUGGACGAUGGAAACCGACCAAACCAUUUUCUAAGCAGAUCGAAGGAUGUCGCUCUUUGCCAACACAGUUCCUCAACAUUAGGCCCUGAAUCUGUCACAGGCACGUAAAGAUAUCCCAAAUCAGAGUCAACAGAUCAAUCAUAAAUCAUCAAAACAUACAGAAAACACACGUAAAACCUGAACUUGAAAGAGUGAAAUGUGUAAAGUUGUAAGGUUGUGUGUAUCAUCAAGUAUGUAUAAAGACCACAUAUCGGUACUCUAAUUUUAUCUUGGCCUGAUCUAUCACUAUGAUUUUGAUAUCUUGACGUACCCUUGCCACAUCCGAGGCCUGCUGCUCCACGCACCGUGGACAAUCCACAAUAGUUAUGAAACCACACAAGGCAUCCACUACCAAACGUCACAGAAUUUAGUGAUAGAUGAAACAUUGCAGCAUGUAGUGAUAGUGGGAUGCAUUAUUUUGUAUCCUAGGAAUUUGUAGCAAAUAUCCCUAAUAAAAAUAAAUAAAUCAUA